Molecule: ribosomal RNA, 499 nt
Filed under: uncultured bacterium
Lineage: Bacteria
Description: partial 16S ribosomal RNA
Rfam family: Bacterial small subunit ribosomal RNA
Source: RNAcentral
GACGAACGCUGGCGGCGUGCCUAAUACAUGCAAGUCGAGCGAAGUUUUUCUGGUGCUUGCACUAGAAAAACUUAGCGGCGAACGGGUGAGUAACACGUAAAGAACCUGCCUCAUAGACUGGGACAACUAUUGGAAACGAUAGCUAAUACCGGAUAACAGUAUUUCUCGCAUGGGAGAUAAUUAAAAGUUGGUUAUGCUAACACUAUGAGAUGGCUUUGCGGUGCAUUAGCUAGUUGGUGGGGUAAAGGCCCACCAAGGCGACGAUGCAUAGCCGACCUGAGAGGGUGAUCGGCCACACUGGGACUGAGACACGGCCCAGACUCCUACGGGAGGCAGCAGUAGGGAAUCUUCCGCAAUGGGCGAAAGCCUGACGGAGCAACGCCGCGUGAGUGAAGAAGGAUUUCGGUUCGUAAAGCUCUGUUGUUAGGGAAGAAUGGAUAUGUAGUAACUAUACAUGUAAGAGACGGUACCUAACCAGAAAGCCACGGCUAACUACGUG